This 111-nucleotide ribosomal RNA is filed under the name Pelobates cultripes (western spadefoot toad). Its description in RNAcentral is "SSU_rRNA_eukarya". It matches the Rfam family "Eukaryotic small subunit ribosomal RNA", at positions 477 to 584 of the family's 1831-position model. The record is from RNAcentral. Lineage: Eukaryota; Metazoa; Chordata; Amphibia; Anura; Pelobatidae.
AUAACAAUACAGGACUCUUUUGAGGCCCUGUAAUUGGAAUGAGUACACUUUAAAUCCUUUAACAAGGACCUAUUGGAGGGCAAGUCUGGUGCAGACCUAUGCGUGCUGCAG